ACGAGUGAAAGCGGUGGAACUGUGGAAGCGUGUUCGAAUGCUGUGCAUUUUUCUUUAGUGUCUAAUUUGUAAAUUCUUUUUUCAUCAAUUUGUAAUUUAACAUCAAUUUAGUAGUUUAGUUAUAUUGUUUAAGUGAUUUAGCAGUGUAGUUUUAAGCUAAAAUAUAUAUAUUUUAAACUAAGUAUAAGAGUAUAAGCUGAUUUUGAUAAGGUCAUACGAUGACCCCCCCAACGAAGGAGGCGUUAGAGAGAAUGCGCCGGGCCAAACUUAUUUUUUUACGAAAAAAGCAGGCGCUAAAUCAGACAUGCCAUCUCGACUCGAUCGGAACAGCGGGGCGGGAAGAAAGCGAGAGCUUGCAUCGUGGGCAACAUCAAAAUUACCGUUCCCGCAAGAUGACAGAGAAGGAUUUGUUGUAGCCAUUGAUAUCGACCGAGAGAAUAAUAAGUUCAGACUUGUAGUAUCUUCGAAAAAACUGUUAUCUAUUGUAGAACAGUUCUCCGUUAUAUCUGCCGAUUGCACGUUCAAAGUGACAAUGGA
This is a long non-coding RNA of Armigeres subalbatus, 537 nucleotides long. RefSeq lists it as uncharacterized. The transcript is spliced from 3 exons. NCBI's taxonomy places the organism in Eukaryota, Metazoa, Arthropoda, Insecta, Diptera, Culicidae. The record is from RefSeq and is a predicted model, not a curated record.